GUUUGUUUAGCCCUUAAUGCCCCAGACAUGGGUCUAAGCAUUUUUUUUCUUCCCUUUGAGACGAGUUUCACGAUGUUGUCCUGGCUGUCCUGGAAAUCGCUCUGUAGACCAGGCUGACCCGGAACUCAUGAGAUCCCUUGAUCUCUGCCUCCCAAGUGCCGAGAUUAAAGGAGUGCGUCACUACGCCCAGCCGGGGGCUAAGUAUUUUUUCCCCAUGAAUCUAUUCCUCAAACCCGGAAGCCAGGCAGACCACAGAAACUAGAAUUCCUCACACCCAAAGUGAGUCAUAGAAACUAGCACCCCCUAUCUAAAGCCUGUUCACAAACCUGGCCCUCCGCAAACUCCCCAGCCUUUUUGGGGAAGAGGUGCUCUCAUCUAUCUGCAUACCUCUAAUAGUAGGCUACAAGACCUUCAUCUCAGAGGGGGCCUGCCUCACACCCUGGAGGAAGAAGGACAGCUGGGCUUCCCCAUCAUACCCUGGAGGAAGAAGGGCAGCUGGGCUUCCCCAUCACACCCUGGAGGAAGAAGGGCAGCUGGGCCUUGCUGGGCCUCCCCAUCACCCUCUCCAUCAGACCACACUCUUGCCCAGUUGCAUUCUGCAUGGCUGUUUCUGCUUCAUCAAACGGGAGCAUGAAAAUGGAGAGCUCACUCAGGGUCUUCGGGCCUUCCUUCUAAAGUGACCUGUCAUAGAAAACUGAUUAAAUAAAUUCGUUACACUUCCA
This is a long non-coding RNA of Peromyscus californicus insignis, 722 nucleotides long. RefSeq lists it as uncharacterized. The transcript has 2 exons. Lineage: Eukaryota; Metazoa; Chordata; Mammalia; Rodentia; Cricetidae. The record is from RefSeq and is a predicted model, not a curated record.